This 1353-nucleotide ribosomal RNA is filed under the name Mycolicibacterium gilvum. RNAcentral describes it as "Mycobacterium gilvum 16S ribosomal RNA". It matches the Rfam family "Bacterial small subunit ribosomal RNA", at positions 91 to 1453 of the family's 1533-position model. Lineage: Bacteria; Bacillati; Actinomycetota; Actinomycetes; Mycobacteriales; Mycobacteriaceae. The record is from RNAcentral.
UCGAGUGGCGAACGGGUGAGUAACACGUGGGUGAUCUGCCCUGCACUUUGGGAUAAGCCUGGGAAACUGGGUCUAAUACCGAAUAGGACCGCAUGCUUCAUGGUGUGUGGUGGAAAGCUUUUGCGGUGUGGGAUGGGCCCGCGGCCUAUCAGCUUGUUGGUGAGGUAAUGGCUUACCAAGGCGACGACGGGUAGCCGGCCUGAGAGGGUGACCGGCCACACUGGGACUGAGAUACGGCCCAGACUCCUACGGGAGGCAGCAGUGGGGAAUAUUGCACAAUGGGCGCAAGCCUGAUGCAGCGACGCCGCGUGAGGGAUGACGGCCUUCGGGUUGUAAACCUCUUUCGCCAGGGACGAAGCGCAAGUGACGGUACCUGGAGAAGAAGGACCGGCCAACUACGUGCCAGCAGCCGCGGUAAUACGUAGGGUCCGAGCGUUGUCCGGAAUUACUGGGCGUAAAGAGCUCGUAGGUGGUUUGUCGCGUUGUUCGUGAAAACUCACAGCUUAACUGUGGGCGUGCGGGCGAUACGGGCAGACUUGAGUACUGCAGGGGAGACUGGAAUUCCUGGUGUAGCGGUGGAAUGCGCAGAUAUCAGGAGGAACACCGGUGGCGAAGGCGGGUCUCUGGGCAGUAACUGACGCUGAGGAGCGAAAGCGUGGGGAGCGAACAGGAUUAGAUACCCUGGUAGUCCACGCCGUAAACGGUGGGUACUAGGUGUGGGUUUCCUUCCUUGGGAUCCGUGCCGUAGCUAACGCAUUAAGUACCCCGCCUGGGGAGUACGGCCGCAAGGCUAAAACUCAAAGAAAUUGACGGGGGCCCGCACAAGCGGCGGAGCAUGUGGAUUAAUUCGAUGCAACGCGAAGAACCUUACCUGGGUUUGACAUGCACAGGACGCCGGCAGAGAUGUCGGUUCCCUUGUGGCCUGUGUGCAGGUGGUGCAUGGCUGUCGUCAGCUCGUGUCGUGAGAUGUUGGGUUAAGUCCCGCAACGAGCGCAACCCUUGUCUCAUGUUGCCAGCACGUUAUGGUGGGGACUCGUGAGAGACUGCCGGGGUCAACUCGGAGGAAGGUGGGGAUGACGUCAAGUCAUCAUGCCCCUUAUGUCCAGGGCUUCACACAUGCUACAAUGGCCGGUACAAAGGGCUGCGAUGCCGUGAGGUGGAGCGAAUCCUUUCAAAGCCGGUCUCAGUUCGGAUCGGGGUCUGCAACUCGACCCCGUGAAGUCGGAGUCGCUAGUAAUCGCAGAUCAGCAACGCUGCGGUGAAUACGUUCCCGGGCCUUGUACACACCGCCCGUCACGUCAUGAAAGUCGGUAACACCCGAAGCCGGUGGCCUAACCCCUUGUGGGAGGGAGC